UAAGACGAAGAAGAAGAGAUAGCGUUGUGCUGCUGCUCACCUGUAGAGACGCCGCCAUCUUGUGGAAGGCCAUGUUUGAGGCCCUGGAAGAUGACUUCCUGAGAGGGAACAGCAGGAGCAGAAUGCAGCCUCUCUCGCCACCGUGUGACCGGCAUCCGGCAGCACCUCCACACCUGAGCCCUCGGUCAGCUGUGUGACAUAGCCACGCCCACAAACAGGUGUCUACUUUCAUCGCGGUGCCAGUGGAACGAUCUGGUGAGUGACAGACAUCUUGGAGUUCCUGUCCUGUCGUCCAUCUUGGAGCUUGUGCCCGUGGACACGCCCAUCUUCCGCUCAGAGCACUCUGGGCAAGCGCAGUGCAGCGUCGUACCAGCAGCGCCACCCCACAGGUCUCCCAGCUACUGCUGCUGACCCUGGCUCCGCCCCUUUCCUCCCAAGUCCCCUCCAGUAUCCAUUUGACUGUUUGCAGUCCUGCAAAACCAGCACUGAAACCCAAGAGCUGCAGCAGCACCGUGGCUCUGCGAGUGUGAGCUCAGCGAAUAUGACAUGGUCGUCGUCAUCAUCCCCUAAAAGACCAGGAGCUCUAGGAGAAGAGACAAAGGUACUAAACAGGAGUUCUAGCCAGUUACUGGUUGGGCAGCGUGUUGGCUUCUUGGCUGCCUAUACUGGUCGUGGACGAUGCUAGAUGAUGCAUCGAAUGACGUUAACUCAAAGUGAGAAAACUGAGAGACAGCAAGAGACCGUGAGAGCGCGUUCACGAGAAAUUUUGAAGAACCCUCCAUACCUAACCUUCUGAAGAGCUUUAUUAGUGCCUCAUAUUUUCAGCAGAAUGAUUUCCGCCCACGUGUAAAGCAUGGCACGCUUUCCCUAUUCGCCAAGUGGAGCUCGACACGUCCUCGCCGCUCCUCAUGUUAGUUGUUACGUGGUGCGUCACAUCACUUUAAUCAUCAUUCUCGUUAUCUGUCAUUAUGGUCGCUUAUUCUGUCACUCAGAAAGGAAAGUACUGAAGAUCAUUUACCACGUUGCAGUGUAGUGUUUGUGUCACGUGAUUAUUUUUUUUAAAUUCCCAGUUUAAUUUCGUGGCUGUAAAAUGACCCCGUCAGGACGGAAGUAAAGAGCGACGUUAGCGCUAAUUUGGGCUUUUCAUGUUUAAUGGCUGUAAAGUGUAGAAUUGUACAAGACUCCAACCUUCCUGCCGUUUGUGAUCCAUGUGUGAAACGAUGCUCCAAAUAUGAGUGAAUUCCUGAAAUCAUCAUUCACUCUAUUUCCCUUAGGCCCUGAUUUACUGAGGAUCCAAAUGACAAGUGCUAAUUUAUGGAUAAACUGAGAUUUAUGUUAUAUUGAUGUGGUGUGGGGGAUUUGCAAAUAAAUAACUGCGUGAAGCACAAAGUUGUUGAAUGGUGUCAGGAUGUUCUGCCACUUUUUCACUUUUUCUUUAGGGAUGAUUUUAUGCUAGC
Long non-coding RNA from Pangasianodon hypophthalmus (striped catfish), 1457 nucleotides. RefSeq lists it as uncharacterized. Lineage: Eukaryota; Metazoa; Chordata; Actinopteri; Siluriformes; Pangasiidae. The transcript is spliced from 6 exons. The record is from RefSeq and is a predicted model, not a curated record.